AGUGGGAUAGCUGGGCCAUAUGAGGUUUUAUUCCUAGUUUUUGGAGGAAUAUUCACAAUGCUUUCCAGAGUGGCUGUACUAAUUUGCAGUCCCACCAGCAAU
Molecule: microRNA precursor, 102 nt
Filed under: Marmota monax (woodchuck)
Lineage: Eukaryota; Metazoa; Chordata; Mammalia; Rodentia; Sciuridae
Source: RNAcentral